UAAAGGUAAUAUUUUACUAUAAUUGGGGGGAGGCCAGGGGGACUAGUUGGUGUUUUCAACACCAUAGGGUCAAGAAUAAGUGUAUGUGUUCCUUUAACCUUUCUGUCUUCAUCAUUUCCAAUAUCUAUAUCCUAUUCAUCCAGCCUAUUCACCAAUCCAUCUAGUCCACGCUGUCCAUGCCUUCCUGGCUAUUUUCACCCUGUCCAUUUUCCCCCUGUUCAUCCAUUCCUGGCUAUUCUCACUGUCACAAACAUGGGCUAUUGGUCCAGCCGAGACCGUGGGAAGAGUGUGGAAGUGAAAGGGUUAAUGACACCAGACCCCUGGUUUAAAAACCCUUGCAAUCCCUUCUACACUAACACCCUAGUACACACUUUACUGCCACCACCAAGACUUUAUAUCUGAGCAUCUUAGGUUGCCCCACACACAAUAGAGUUAUAGUAUCACAACCUUACCUUACUGAUCAGACAUAUAUAAAAUGUAAAAAAUACCCCUUUCUGUCUCAUUAGAGAUAUCUUUGCCAGAAGCUCAAGGAAGCAAGGUGAAGGGUCAGAGUAGGACCCGUCUAGGGGGGUCUGCCUUGACAUUGGCAGGCGGGCAUUCCCUCCAGUGGCCAUUGGAGUAACUAAAUUACCUCCAUUUGUUUAAAUAUACAUAGGGAUUAAGGAGAGAGCGCAGGUAACUUUUUUCCUUUGGUUUUUAAUAUAUGUAUUGGAGCUGAUGUGUACUGUGG
Pelobates cultripes (western spadefoot toad) is the source of this 730-nucleotide non-coding RNA. The record is from the annotation of a GenBank genome assembly. Lineage: Eukaryota; Metazoa; Chordata; Amphibia; Anura; Pelobatidae.